This 497-nucleotide ribosomal RNA is filed under the name uncultured bacterium. Its description in RNAcentral is "partial 16S ribosomal RNA". It matches the Rfam family "Bacterial small subunit ribosomal RNA", at positions 28 to 507 of the family's 1533-position model. The record is from RNAcentral.
GAUGAACGCUGGCGGCGUGCCUAAUACAUGCAAGUCGAGCGAACGGACGAGAAGCUUGCUUCUCUGAUGUUAGCGGCGGACGGGUGAGUAACACGUGGAUAACCUACCUAUAAGACUGGGAUAACUUCGGGAAACCGUAGCUAAUACCGGAUAAUAUUUUGAACCGCAUGGUUCAAAAGUGAAAGACGGUCUUGCUGUCACUUAUAGAGGGAUCCGCGCUGCAUUAGCUAGUUGGUAAGGUAACGGCUUACCAAGGCAACGAUGCAUAGCCGACCUGAGAGGGUGAUCGGCCACACUGGAACUGAGACACGGUCCAGACUCCUCCGGGAGGCAGCAGUAGGGAAUCUUCCGCAAUGGGUGAAAGCCUGACGGAGCAACGCCGCGUGAGUGAUGAAGGUCUUCGGAUCGUAAAACUCUGUUAUUAGGGAAGAACAUAUGUGUAAGUAACUGUGCACAUCUUGACGGUACCUAAUCAGAAAGCCACGGCUAACUACGUG